Oncorhynchus keta (chum salmon) is the source of this 839-nucleotide long non-coding RNA. RefSeq lists it as uncharacterized. The record is from RefSeq and is a predicted model, not a curated record. The transcript is spliced from 6 exons. NCBI's taxonomy places the organism in Eukaryota, Metazoa, Chordata, Actinopteri, Salmoniformes, Salmonidae.
UAUUGUAUUGACAUGGUUUUGGUGUAAAAGACAAGCCCUACUUACAUUGACUUCAAAGCAGAAUAGCUGAACCAUAAUCAUUGGGAAAAAAGUGAGUAAUUUGGAAAUAAAGAUUCAUUUUGAUGUGAAGAUACCAGGUAUGGUGUGGAUUUGGCCCGUAAGCCCACCAGAACUUGGUACCAGGUAUGGUGUGGAUUUGGCCCGUAAGCCCACCAGAACUUGGUACCAGGUUAGGUGUGGAUUUGGCCCGUAAGCCCACCAGAACUUGGUUCCAGGUUAGGUGUGGAUUUGGCCCGUAAACCCACCAGAACUUGGUAGCAGGUUAGGUGUGGAUUUGGCCCGUAAGCCCACCAGAACUUGGUUCCAGGUUAGGUGUGGAUUUGGCCCGUAAACCCACCAGAACUUGGUUCCAGGUUAGGUGUGGAUUUGGCCCGUAAACCCACCAGAACGUGGUAGCAGGUUAGGUGUGGAUUUGGCCCGUAAGCCCACCAGAACGUGGUAGCAGGUUAGGUGUGGAUUUGGCCCGUAAACCCACCAGAACUUGGUUCCAGGUUAGGUGUGGAUUUGGCCCGUAAGCCCACCAGAACUUGGUAGCAGGUUAGGUGUGGAUUUGGCCCGUAAGCCCACCAGAACUUGGUACCAGGUUAGGUGUGGAUUUGGCCCGUAAGCCCACCAGAACUUGGUUCCAGGUUAGGUGUGGAUUUGGCCCGUAAGCCCACCAGAACUUGGUUCCAGGUUAGGUGUGGAUUUGGCCCGCAAGCCCACCAGAACUUGUCGGUAGCAGUACUGGGUUAAAGGCCUUUAUAUUUCAGGGGAUUUCUGCAAUGCUUAUUUGCCAU